GCCCCUAUAGCUCAAUCGGAUAGAGCGAGAGAUUUCUAAUCUCUAGGUUGUAGGUUCGAGUCCUACUAGGGGUA
Molecule: transfer RNA, 74 nt
Filed under: Bacteroidales bacterium
Lineage: Bacteria; Pseudomonadati; Bacteroidota; Bacteroidia; Bacteroidales
Description: tRNA-Arg
Rfam family: tRNA
About the family: Transfer RNA (tRNA) molecules are approximately 80 nucleotides in length. Their secondary structure includes four short double-helical elements and three loops (D, anti-codon, and T loops).
Source: RNAcentral